CCUACGGGGCGCUGCAGUGAGGAAUAUUGGUCAAUGGUCGGGAGACUGAACCAGCCAAGCCGCGUGAGGGAGGAAGGUACAGAGUAUCGUACACCUCUUUUGUCAGGGAACAAAGGCGGGGACGUGUCCCCGGAUGAGUGUACCUGAAGAAAAAGCAUCGGCUAACUCCGUGCAAGCAGCCGCGGUAAUACGGAGGAUGCGAGCGUUAUCCGGAUUUAUUGGGUUUAAAGGGUGCGCAGGCGGUCUGUUAAGUCAGAGGUCAAAGCCCGGGGCUCCAGCCCGGCCCGCCGUUGAAACUGGCAGUCUCGAGUUGGAGAGAAGUAUGCGGAAUGCGCGGUGUAGCGGUGAAAUGCAUAGAUAUCGCGCAGAACUCCGAUUGCGAAGGCAGCAUGCCGGCUCCACACUGACGCUGAGGCACGAAAGCGUGGGUAUCGAACAGGAUUAGAUACCCGUGUAGUC
This 459-nucleotide ribosomal RNA is filed under the name uncultured bacterium. RNAcentral's name for it is "partial 16S ribosomal RNA". It matches the Rfam family "Bacterial small subunit ribosomal RNA", at positions 338 to 795 of the family's 1533-position model. The record is from RNAcentral.